Long non-coding RNA from Scylla paramamosain (green mud crab), 1234 nucleotides. RefSeq lists it as uncharacterized. NCBI's taxonomy places the organism in Eukaryota, Metazoa, Arthropoda, Malacostraca, Decapoda, Portunidae. The record is from RefSeq and is a predicted model, not a curated record. The transcript is spliced from 2 exons.
AAGGCAUAUAAUAAUAUGCCAUAAUCUGGUUAAGACAUUCCGGGUCAAAAUGAUGCCUGAUGUUGGCCAACGUGACAAGUAAAUUUUGCUGCAUGGUACUGUACAUACGGCAAUGGGGAGUUUUCGGAACUAAACCGCUAGAUGUCGUUGCUGCUCAUCUAACUGUAGGAAAGAGAGCUAAAAUAUUGAUGUAGUAAAUCCCAGGUGCGUAAAGAUGCAUAGCACAUUGAUCAUCACGAUACUUUUGAAAUGAUGUAUCGACUUUUCAAUAUACGGUGUCAUAUUGGAUAAGCACUCCCCCAAAAUAAGUACUCCCCAGUACAAAUUCAUUAUGGUAAAGGUAAUCCCCGUCAUUAUUCCAUAUGGUAAAUGUACUCUCUCACGUGAAAUAAGUACUCCCACACUUAGGAAGGAUGAGGAGGUAAUGAGACAUAGAAACGAAUUUCGUGAAUUCAAUUCCAAUUCGCCUAUCCUCUGUGGACUCGAACGUGCUCGUCUACGCAUUUGAAACUGAGAUCGCGGAACGAAACCGACCGAGCCACAAAGGUAAUUGAACUUUACAGUUUGCUACCAGUGUCCUGAGUGUUGUUGACAAUGCCGCACGUGCCAUUUGACUUCAUAUAUUAGUAUCUUCUUGAGGGUGUGUGGCCCGCUACUGUAUGUACCAAAGGGGAAAAAGCCAACCUCCGCAAGGCAUGUAGACCCUUUGCUGUUAAGGGUGAAGAACUAUUCUACAAGAAGGUGAAAAAUGACUGGAGAGAAAGUGGAGCUGCUGUUACGUGUCCUCUCAACAAAGACUGAACAACAACGAGCAAUUCGAUGUGCACACGAAGGCCUUGGUACCAGUAUUGAAAGUAAAAGUAUGAGUGGACAUCGGGGAAUAACAGCAAAGAAAAAAAAAAGCCAUGUGCAACACGUUGAAGAACAUCUGGGCAAGAUGACAACGACCAACGAAUGGGCAACAGAUGUUGAGCUAUUUGCAGCGGCUUCACUACUUCAAACAGACAUAAUGCUGUGGUUGCAGAGAGGAGAUUGGGCCCUGUUUGGACGAAAUGUCUUGGAAAAGUCAUGUAGUCUCAGCGAUUCGGACCUUUGUGAUAAACGUGUUAUUUACCUGCAACAUACCAACAGUAACCAUUUUGAUUAUGUCAAAGGAAUUAUGUAUAUGUAGAUCGUAAAUAUAAUUGGAUAUUAUUGAUCAUCUGCAGAGGGACAAAUAUACAAUUUAAGAUAA